This 406-nucleotide long non-coding RNA is filed under the name Amborella trichopoda. RNAcentral describes it as "long non-coding RNA (ATRI_LNC003374)". The record is from RNAcentral. Lineage: Eukaryota; Viridiplantae; Streptophyta; Magnoliopsida; Amborellales; Amborellaceae.
UUUAUUAAUGUAUAUGUACACUGAUUUAUAUACUACACACACGUACAAACACUCACACUCACGCACACGCACUCACACUCACACGCACACUCACACAUAUACACACGCACUCACACACACACACACUCGCACUCACACUCACACUCGCACUCGCACUCGCACUCACACUCACACUCAAACUCACACACACUCACACUCACACUCACACUCACUCACAGAUAUAUAUAUUAUCACCUCUAAUCUGAUAUGCCUAGGAAAAAUUCCAUAUUACUUUGUAUAGAAUUAGGCAUAAGAAUGGGUAUCUUCUCUUGAUGAAUUGGGUAUGCUAAAUAUCCAAUUGUGAUAGACCAUUUAAAUUUUUUUUCUUAUUUGUACUUGUUUUUAUUAAUAUUGAAGAGCUUCAUCU